RNAcentral lists this ribosomal RNA (488 nucleotides) under uncultured organism. RNAcentral's name for it is "SSU rRNA". It matches the Rfam family "Bacterial small subunit ribosomal RNA", at positions 505 to 991 of the family's 1533-position model. The record is from RNAcentral.
GUGCCAGCAGCCGCGGUAAUACGUAGGGUGCGAGCGUUGUCCGGAAUUACUGGGCGUAAAGAGCUCGUAGGUGGUUUGUCGCGUUGUUCGUGAAAACUCACAGCUUAACUGUGGGCGUGCGGGCGAUACGGGCAGACUAGAGUACUGCAGGGGAGACUGGAAUUCCUGGUGUAGCGGUGGAAUGCGCAGAUAUCAGGAGGAACACCGGUGGCGAAGGCGGGUCUCUGGGCAGUAACUGACGCUGAGGAGCGAAAGCGUGGGGAGCGAACAGGAUUAGAUACCCUGGUAGUCCACGCCGUAAACGGUGGGUACUAGGUGUGGGUUCCUUCCUUGGGAUCCGUGCCGUAGCUAACGCAUUAAGUACCCCGCCUGGGGAGUACGGCCGCAAGGCUAAAACUCAAAGGAAUUGACGGGGGCCCGCACAAGCGGCGGAGCAUGUGGAUUAAUUCGAUGCAACGCGAAGAACCUUACCUGGGUUUGACAUGCAC